This 550-nucleotide ribosomal RNA is filed under the name uncultured bacterium. Its description in RNAcentral is "bacterial SSU rRNA". It matches the Rfam family "Bacterial small subunit ribosomal RNA", at positions 355 to 896 of the family's 1533-position model. The record is from RNAcentral.
UAGGGAAUCUUCCACAAUGGGCGCAAGCCUGAUGGAGCAACACCGCGUGAGUGAAGAAGGGUUUCGGCUCGUAAAGCUCUGUUGUUGGAGAAGAACGUGCGUGAGAGUAACUGUUCACGCAGUGACGGUAUCCAACCAGAAAGUCACGGCUAACUACGUGCCAGCAGCCGCGGUAAUACGUAGGUGGCAAGCGUUAUCCGGAUUUAUUGGGCGUAAAGCGAGCGCAGGCGGUUGCUUAGGUCUGAUGUGAAAGCCUUCGGCUUAACCGAAGAAGGGCAUCGGAAACCGGGCGACUUGAGUGCAGAAGAGGACAGUGGAACUCCAUGUGUAGCGGUGGAAUGCGUAGAUAUAUGGAAGAACACCAGUGGCGAAGGCGGCUGUCUGGUCUGCAACUGACGCUGAGGCUCGAAAGCAUGAGUAGCGAACAGGAUUAGAUACCCUGGUAGUCCAUGCUGUAAACGAUGAGUGCUAGGUGUUGGAGGGUUUCCGCCCUUCAGUGCCGGAGCUAACGCAUUAAGCACUCCGCCUGGGGAGUACGACCGCAAGGUUG